CCCCUAACUAUAUAAACUCAACCCUUCCAGCCCCCUUCAGACCCCCCAUAUCCUGGUCUCUCUCAAACCUCAUCUCUUCCGGAUCCCUAGCCAGCCGCCCCCAUUUCCAUCACCUUAAGCCGGCGACGCCCAACGCUGAUGACCACCAUAUUAACACCCUAGAGCCACCUGACCACCCUGAACUCGAAUCCGCUAUCGCCUUCCCUCGAAUCAUCUUCCAUCUUCUCGAAUCUUACAUUUGAAGAUAUGAGCCAAACAUGAACCUACCUCAACCAAGCCCAAAAUCAUACCAGACCACCCCCAGGCCUCCCUCGUUACCAAAACAAUGUUGGUUUGGUUCAAAUCAGACCAGAACCGUUUGAACCCCAAACCAUACCCCAAUAACCCUAGAAAUUCCAAAACAUAUGAUCUUUCCAAAUUGAAAGGGUUUUCGGUGUCCAAUCGACCUUAGCCAAAGUGUUCUCGGUUGAGAAUACUCGGUUAAGGUCCGUUUGACGUAAAAAAUGAUCAGGUCCGAGAUUGGUCCAAGUCCAUUUGAGUGCUGAUUUUCUUUUUAAGGUAUUCUUCUUCCUUUGUUCCAUUUGUAUUAAUAUCUGCUCUUUAGUUUUGUUAUUUUGAUCUUUUUACUUUUUUUUUUCAACUGCUCUUCUGCUUCUUCUCAAUAACCUUUUAUUUGGUCGAAUUGUUUCUUGUCAAUUAUUAUAUGCAAUCGUAUAAAUAGAUUCGACGAUUAAUUAGUUUCCGUAAAAUCAUGAUUUUCUGUCAGGCAACCUCUUUUGUUUAUUUCUGUUUCUAUUUUGUUGUUGAUUCAUUUAGGAGCGCUCUUUCAUCCAACUCGAAAUGUCGUAAGAUAAGAAAGAUCGUAAGUAACAAUAGCGCAAAAGCGACUACUUAUUUAUCAUUUGAAUUUCUCCAAAUUGGAAUUCCUCUCCUAUGUUCUCAAAAACGCUUCCCUUUUUACUUGAAUUUUCAGCGAUCGUUUUUUCUACUAUUUUAGCGAUUAUGAUAGAGAUAAAGCUCUUUAGAUGGUCUUUUCUAUUGUAUAAUUAUUUAUUGUUCGAGUUGGAGUUAGAAAUCCAUCAGGAUUUCGUGUGCUUACUUAUAUUGCUUUUGGUUUUCGUAUCAUGGAUCUUGGGUCGCACUUUAUGUCAUUUCUAAGAAUUUUCUGUGAUCGUUUUUAAUACUAGUUAUAGUUUGUAUAGUUGGUUGCAUAAAUGUCGUUAAGUGGUUUAUGGUCGAUUGUUGUAUAUACCGAUUUUCAGUUACUUAGCUUCAGGGCACUGUCAAUAUUGACAAUAAUCCUGCAUUUUUGCAUGGAUUCGAUUCAGAACUAUGUUGAGUUUAAGACCUGUAUCUACGCGAUUUUGGUUCAAUUUUUGUUCAGUUUCAAUGAUUCUGUUAAGUUUUAUGUUGCAUUAAGUUGUGUUUUUGAUUUAAAAAUUAGUUCAUCUGUUUCAAUUAAAUAACUUCUGUCUUCCAGUUGUCAGGGAGAUUGGUUAUAACUGUAAAAUAGAAUUAGUUUUGGGCAAAUUUUCUUUAGGAAAGAACAGAUUGGAUUAAGGGCAGUAACCGUAAGAUUCAGGGGUAAUCUGGCCAAGUUCAAAAAUGAAAAAUAAGUUUGACUAAGGGGUCUGUCCAGUGGGUGCCUAAUAGCUUUAAUUUAAGUUAAUGGGUAGAGGGGGCCACCAAGUAAUGAUAGAUGUUUGGUUGAUUGGAAUUAGGAGUACUAGUUUAAUGAUAAAAAGUGUAAAGAAUACACAUAGAAGAGCAUAUUUGGGGGGCUGGAUAUUAAAGUAAAGGGUAAUUGGAGGGGUAAUAAUAAAAAGGUAGUAAUAAUAAUGAGGGGGGAGGGGAGAAAGUCUUAAUUUUACAUAUAUAUGGAUUCAUUUCAACACAAAAAAGAGGGAGGGUAGUUAACCAGAAUUUCAGAGUUUGGGAGGAACAAUCUGAUUAAAAAGGGACUAGCAAAAGAGAGGCUAGAAAAAGUAAAAGGAAACAAAUAGUUUUCUUUGAGUUUCUUUUUUUGAGAGUUUAAAGAUCAAUUUUCUUUUAAGCUUAAAAGCUGAAUUCUUCCAUACCUUGAAAUCUUAAGAGUUCGAGAGUGAGCUUGAGAGAGGACUGAUUUUGAGUGUUGUUACUGCUUCAUUGAAACUCAUAUUGUUUUCCGGUUUGAUUUUAAAGGAUUUGGGGUUCAAUUAGCUAUUGGUUUUGUUGGGUGUUGUUGUCGUUAUUUUGGAGUUCAAUCUGUGGGUCAACUGUUUUGGUUUCUGCUGUUUUCUUGGUCGUUUUGAAUCAUUCCUGGGGUUGAAGAAUAGUUGUGCUGUUAUUGUUAUUUGCUGUGGUAUUUUGCGGCUAGUGAACUGUUGCUGUGUUACUGCUGCUCUGCUGAUCCUUCUGUUUCUUCUUCUAUUUUUCCAAUAUCAGGUACACGUUCGAAUCACUACUGAUGUAGCUGUGAGGUGUGAAAAUAAAAUGAAAUGCUAGUGUGUUUGAUGAGUUAAUGUUGUAUCUACAGUUUAAUAAAGAUAUGUGACAAGUAUAUGUACAGUUUAGUUUUAUAACUCAACUAGAAUACAUGAUGUAGUCUUUAUUUAACUUGAACUGUUUGGUUUUAAAUUAUAGUUUGUAGUUAUCAAUUACAGAUGCUAUGAAGUUAAUAUAUAUAAUUUAUAGAAUGGACACAAUUGAUGUAUUUCAUCUCUAGUUUUCUUUUAUAUUUUUGGUAUAUUUUAAACAAGCCAGUUUGAUGCCGUUAGGCAAUAUAUAGGUCAAUGUUCGAAUCCAAAUCGAUAACGUUUCCUAGCCGUUAGUCUCAAUCAUCUAGAAUUGUUAAUUUAAAUCAAUAUUAGAAAUAUUAGUUUAAAUCAUUUUAUAAUAAUUAUUUCAUUUUCAAUUCUUUGUCAAUCUUGUGUAUGCAUAUCAGUUUUGUAGCUCGUUUAUAGAACAAGAUAUGAGUCAAUUUUCGUCUUUCAAGUUCAAGUGCAUUUCCUCUAUUAGUCGCUAUCAUAAAUCUAACACUAUCGAAUAAGAGGCUCGAACUCACCAAGCAUGUAAAUUAAUUACGAUUUUUUCUUCUUUCGUAUGUAGAGACGAACUUAAUAAAGAAAAUUUAGUUACAUUAGGAUUAUCCCUUUAAAAUAAAUGAGACGAGCCUCACCGAAUAAAAGGGAACAAGCUGUGGGGUCCUCGGUAAAGGUUUAAAAAUAUUUAGAAAAUCGGGAAGGGUCGUUUAGUGAAUUUCACGACCCUCUCAAAAGAUUACAAUGCGCUAGACUCUAUUGGACGCGCCUUAAUUAAUCUUACCUUCCUAAACUCGGGUGUGCAUUUA
RNAcentral lists this long non-coding RNA (3328 nucleotides) under Nicotiana benthamiana. Its description in RNAcentral is "long non-coding RNA (NBEN_LNC038131)". The record is from RNAcentral. Lineage: Eukaryota; Viridiplantae; Streptophyta; Magnoliopsida; Solanales; Solanaceae.